GCAAGUCGUACCAGUAGUACCCUAGAGCUUGCUCUCGGGUGACGAGUGGCGGACGGGUGAGUAAUGUCUGGGAAACUGCCCGAUGGAGGGGGAUAACUACUGGAAACGGUAGCUAAUACCGCAUAACGUCGCAAGACCAAAGUGGGGGACCUUCGGGCCUCACACCAUCGGAUGUGCCCAGAUGGGAUUAGCUAGUAGGUGGGGUAAUGGCUCACCUAGGCGACGAUCCCUAGCUGGUCUGAGAGGAUGACCAGCCACACUGGAACUGAGACACGGUCCAGACUCCUACGGGAGGCAGCAGUGGGGAAUAUUGCACAAUGGGCGCAAGCCUGAUGCAGCCAUGCCGCGUGUAUGAAGAAGGCCUUCGGGUUGUAAAGUACUUUCAGCGGGGAGGAAGGCGGUGGAGUUAAUAACUUCACCGAUUGACGUUACCCGCAGAAGAAGCACCGGCUAACUCCGUGCCAGCAGCCGCGGUAAUACGGAGGGUGCAAGCGUUAAUCGGAAUUACUGGGCGUAAAGCGCACGCAGGCGGUCUGUCAAGUCGGAUGUGAAAUCCCCGGGCUUAACCUGGGAACUGCAUUCGAAACUGGCAGGCUAGAGUCUUGUAGAGGGGGGUAGAAUUCCAGGUGUAGCGGUGAAAUGCGUAGAGAUCUGGGAGGAAUACCGGUGGCGAAGGCGGCCCC
This 683-nucleotide ribosomal RNA is filed under the name Kluyvera intermedia. RNAcentral describes it as "bacterial SSU rRNA". It matches the Rfam family "Bacterial small subunit ribosomal RNA", at positions 57 to 728 of the family's 1533-position model. Lineage: Bacteria; Pseudomonadati; Pseudomonadota; Gammaproteobacteria; Enterobacterales; Enterobacteriaceae. The record is from RNAcentral.